GCCCAGAUGGUGAAACUGGCAACCACGUACGCUUCAGGUGCGUAUGCCGAAAGGCUUGGGGGUUCGACUCCCCCUCUGGGCA
RNAcentral lists this transfer RNA (82 nucleotides) under Candidatus Yanofskybacteria bacterium RIFCSPHIGHO2_01_FULL_41_53. RNAcentral's name for it is "tRNA-Leu". It matches the Rfam family "tRNA". Rfam says of the family: Transfer RNA (tRNA) molecules are approximately 80 nucleotides in length. Their secondary structure includes four short double-helical elements and three loops (D, anti-codon, and T loops). Further hydrogen bonds mediate the characteristic L-shaped molecular structure. tRNAs have two regions of fundamental functional importance: the anti-codon, which is responsible for specific mRNA codon recognition, and the 3' end, to which the tRNAs corresponding amino acid is attached (by aminoacyl-tRNA synthetases). tRNAs cope with the degeneracy of the genetic code in two manners: having more than one tRNA (with a specific anti-codon) for a particular amino acid; and 'wobble' base-pairing, i.e. permitting non-standard base-pairing at the 3rd anti-codon position. RNAcentral also lists the same sequence under 3 other names. Lineage: Bacteria; Candidatus Yanofskyibacteriota. The record is from RNAcentral.